UUUGUGAUCUCUCCCAAGAGGGCUUCUCUUGUAGCCACACAUCUGUUGAAAACACUCAUACAGUAACUUUGUUGUUUUGCUUUACUCACAUGAAUAUGUGGGAUGGAAUUAUAAGACAGUU
This is a small nucleolar RNA of Ictidomys tridecemlineatus (thirteen-lined ground squirrel), 121 nucleotides long. The record is from Ensembl. Lineage: Eukaryota; Metazoa; Chordata; Mammalia; Rodentia; Sciuridae.